UGCAAGUUUAGUACAUUCCGGCAUGCAAAAGAGCAAUCCAAACAGACCGAAAGUCAGCUCUGCUUUGCUAAAUUGCACUGGCUACCUUAUGCUAAUUGUCUCUGCAGCAGAGUUUAUCAUAAGGAACUAGGCCUUGGUGAAGUGCUGGAUCAUGAAGGGCAAGAUGAAAGCCAUAGCCUGAAAGCCACUGGACAACACUGAGGAAAGAGAAGAUGCCCCGCUGUGCGAGGCAGAUUUGGGAACAGAGGGAUCCCACUGGCCGUAAGCGACAUUGUGUGGUUCAGUUUUAGGAGCCUUACCUGUUGGGUAAUGACCAGAUCCCAGACUGAGCUUUCUAAGAAGUCUUGUCUAAUGGCAGGAUGAAGCACACAGGUCACUGAUGUCCUCAUUCCAAACAUUCUGUGCCUUCUCAAGCAGUGUACACAUACAAAUACACAUUCUACCUGUUUGCUGCCAAAAUGAUUAACGGAGGCUGGCAUGGGUUCUCAUGUCAAGAUUAUGAUGGCUUCAGCCAAUGUUUGAUUUUAUUCAUCAGCAUUUUGAGGGGAAGCAGAAUCAAGCCUGGGGCAAUAGCAGCCAUUGUAGCUGUUAGCUCAUGCACAUAAAUUCCCUUGUGGUUCACUGUCUACACUAGCAAUGUCAGACCCUCAUGUCAACAAUAGUGUAAUUCUCUGCAACCUAUAGGCUGUGUGGUUUCUGAUCUGAAGCCAGACUUCUCAUGGGAAAAUAAAGUUUGACAGGGAAACUUUCACCACUUUAAAAAAAAAUGUUUCAAUCCAGAGCAGCACUGCUUUGUGUUUGCCACACACUCUCCUGGUAUCGAUUGUUACAAAUUUAAAAUCUGGGAUUUUUUUUUAACAUGCAUUAGGAGCCAAAUGUUGUCAGUCUAGACUCUAGAGUAACUGCUAUUUUACAUUGAAUUGCUGUUAAUUUACACCAGACCAACUGAGAUCAGAAUGUGACCCUGUAUCCUUUGCUGUUUUGUUAAAGCCCUUUGCACAAUAAUAUCAUAUUAAAAACAACUG
This is a long non-coding RNA of Dermochelys coriacea (leatherback sea turtle), 1025 nucleotides long. RefSeq lists it as uncharacterized. NCBI's taxonomy places the organism in Eukaryota, Metazoa, Chordata, Testudines, Dermochelyidae. The transcript has 2 exons. The record is from RefSeq and is a predicted model, not a curated record.